UAAAGCAUAAUAGUGAUGAGUUGGAACGUUUGCCUACGUUUGCCGCUAGGGGUGCUGUUCCAACUGCACGUAAAUUGAGUUA
RNAcentral lists this microRNA precursor (82 nucleotides) under Bombyx mori (domestic silkworm). Its description in RNAcentral is "mir-2807 microRNA precursor family". It matches the Rfam family "mir-2807 microRNA precursor family". Lineage: Eukaryota; Metazoa; Arthropoda; Insecta; Lepidoptera; Bombycidae. The record is from Rfam by way of RNAcentral.